ACGUAACGACAGGGGAGCGCGAGAGCGCUGAGAGUGCGGGCGACCGCAGACCCUCACACCUGAUCCGGUUCGCACCGGCGUAGGGAGUCGAGAAUCUCGAGCA
RNAcentral lists this non-coding RNA (103 nucleotides) under Phycicoccus sp. RNAcentral's name for it is "TPP sequence". It matches the Rfam family "TPP riboswitch aptamer (THI element)". From Rfam's summary of the family: Vitamin B(1) in its active form thiamin pyrophosphate (TPP) is an essential coenzyme that is synthesised by coupling of pyrimidine and thiazole moieties in bacteria. Lineage: Bacteria; Bacillati; Actinomycetota; Actinomycetes; Micrococcales; Intrasporangiaceae. The record is from RNAcentral.